Long non-coding RNA from Schistocerca americana (American grasshopper), 330 nucleotides. RefSeq lists it as uncharacterized. The transcript has 2 exons. The record is from RefSeq and is a predicted model, not a curated record. NCBI's taxonomy places the organism in Eukaryota, Metazoa, Arthropoda, Insecta, Orthoptera, Acrididae.
GGAGAAAGCAACGCCUGGGCGGCUGCAGCGACAGAAGUUUAUAAAUACUGCCGCCUCCCGUGAGUCCGAGAUCAUUUGACACCUCACGGUUGUGCUGCGUCUUGGUGUCGCCCGUAGCAGGAGAUCACAGCUGCCUCUUUGGAGUGUGCCAACUUGAAAAGAUCUAGUUUGUCUGCCCUUGGAGAUAACCUCACCCAGUGCGAACACUUACAUUCGUUUUAGAGAAUUCUACGUUAUUUAACGCUUCUGCCAAUGUAUAUCAACUGGUUCAGUUGAAAGAUUUAACCAAUAGUGUAACACUUUUGAGCUGAAAAAAAAAGUUGUAAAUUA